This 214-nucleotide ribosomal RNA is filed under the name uncultured bacterium. RNAcentral's name for it is "partial 16S ribosomal RNA". It matches the Rfam family "Bacterial small subunit ribosomal RNA", at positions 524 to 737 of the family's 1533-position model. The record is from RNAcentral.
UACGUAGGGUGCAAGCGUUAAUCGGAAUUACUGGGCGUAAAGCGUGCGCAGGCGGUUUUGUAAGUCUGUCGUGAAAUCCCCGGGCUCAACCUGGGAAUUGCGAUGGAGACUGCAAGGCUAGAAUCUGGCAGAGGGGGGUAGAAUUCCACGUGUAGCAGUGAAAUGCGUAGAGAUGUGGAGGAACACCGAUGGCGAAGGCAGCCCCCUGGGUCAU